GGAAUUAAAUGUUCAGCAUCCGUAUUGUAUGCACUGCGCAGCUCACAAGAUGACGUCAUCAGUUGAAAAUUCCUGAUCUAGACGACUGUGGAGCUGACGCUCGUCUAUUUUACCAUCCAAGUCCUUCACUAAUGUUGGCAUUUUGAAUCUUGGAGCUUUUGAUCAACAAUGGAGGGAGUCAGCAACUACACACCAAAAAGAAUGCGGAUGGAUUGCAAGGUCUAUGUGGGCAACCUUGGCAACAACGCCGCAAAGCACGAAUUGGAGUCAGCGUUCACCAAAUAUGGUCCUUUAGUGAAUGUUUGGGUGGCACGUAAUCCUCCUGGAUUUGCAUUUGUGGAAUUUGAAGACCCAAGGGAUGCUGAAGAUGCUGUACGGGCCCUUGAUGGAACGCGACUGUGUGGUGUUCGUGUGAGAGUGGAGAUGUCCACCGGCCGCUCACGCCGUGACCGUUACCGUUCUCCUUCAAGACGAGGUGGAAGCAGGCGAUCCAGGACUAUCUCGCCCAAAUUACUUCUUGUUCCACCACCACCAUCUACUCCUCCUACUGUUGCUACCACACCACCACCACCAACUCCACCACAACCACCACCACCACCACCACAAGUACUUCCACCACCACCACCACCACCACCACCACUGCUAGCAUCAGCCUGCUUGUACAGUGGGCUUCCAGUAUUGGGUUGUAGGGGAGGUUGGAGCUCCCUGUGGGGGCUCCUUCCACUCAUCACCUGAUCCUACACUGGUGAUGCAACUUGAUGACAUAAAGUGAGUCAAAUGACACUCUUGGGUAGUGAAGCAUGUUCUCCUUCAUAGUGUUCAUGCUUUACUGUCAGUGGGUGGUAGAGUUUACCAGUGUUGGAUAAGGUGUUGGGCCCUGAUCAGCCAAGGCAUGGCGGCGGUGGUGGUGAGCGGCACGUUGCCUGAUGGCCCUCCUACGGCGCGGCACCUCGCGGCACCCGGGCAGCCCUUAUGCGCUUCACGUGUCCUCUUCUCCCCGCCCGUCUACGUCUACCCUCCGCCCACUGCCCGCCCAUCGCCCGCCCGCUGCCUGCGCACCGUCAGGCCUGCCCCCCCACCCACCAUCUUGGGUCUCUGACCCUCCAACGCUCGCUCCACUUUCUUACAUUCAUCGCGCCUCGUCUCAUCAUAACGACUACCCUGCUGUGACGGUCCCGCACUCCCAGAAGGUUUGGCCGUUCUCGUUCCAGGUCACCAAGACGCUCACGGUCCCGCUCCCCCAGGUCUGUUUCACGAUCACCAAGAUACAAGUGAAGAUGAAGACAGUAGCUUGCCUUCAGAAAGACUUGGGAAUUUAUACGUAGAAGUUGCUGUGUUGGAGGAGCUCAUGAAGAAGCUACCUGUGACGGAACAUAUUUUCUCACCAUGCCUAGCUAUGAGAAACUUUAUGAUCACUCUUCAAGAUUGACAAUAAUUUGUUGUCAAUUUACAGUUAUCAUAAAACCUAAUUUCAUUUUAUAAAUGUAUAUUUCUUUGUUUAUCAUUCAACACUUGACUUUUUAAUAAAGGUCACUUGGAUCCUUAGUAUUGUGAAUGUCAUUUACACACAUUGUACUAACUUCUAGUUCAUUCAGUUCCAUCUUAAGACUUAAGUAGGGUUCAUAUUACUUUGCAUUUUACGGUUAUCCAGUUUUUAUAAGGUGAGAAUGGAUGAAUGAUAAUAGUAUGUCAUACCUUUCAAUUACAAUUCCUUAAAGAUAAUAAUUAUAACAUUUGUAAGCUUGUAAGUACAAAUUAAAAUGAAAGGUAUGGAUUGUUUUUCAUAAGUUUUGUGAACAAUGAAGUUCCACAAUUCUUACUCUUGUUUUAUUACAAACUCAGGUGUGAGUGCUGAGUAGAUAUUUUUUAUGUGUAGUGACUGAAUGGAGGUGUGCUGUAUUUGAAAAUUACAAAUAUUAAUUAUAUAAAUUUUUUACAUCAAACCUUAUGUAAAAACCCUACAUUAACAAAGAAAUUGCAUGUCCAUACAACAGCUAUAUCUACUACAAUUAUAGGCAGCGUGUUAACGGUUAUAGUACAGUAUUUUUUAAAUCUUCUGGAGGGUUUACACAAUCACAGAGGUCUAUUAAAAUGAUUUUUAUUUAUUUAAAAAUAAUUUUUAUUUAAAACCCAUGUGGGUUAACCUUUUAUUUUAAAUCCAUCUUCAGUACUGAAGUGGAAGAGAACCUUGCCAAUGAAUAUGUUGUAUAACCUGAGGCAAAAUAACUGUAGAGAUUAAUUACUUGUACAGUAGUACUGUUUAUGUGAAAAGAAAAAUUAAAUUAAAACCUGGCUCUUCGGAAGGUCCAAACUUUGCAGUGAGCCUUAGUGGCCAAGCACUAGUGAUGACAAAACUUCUUGCUUGGGGACAGUUUACUGUAUAUUCAACACUGUUUAGAACCUUGGAGUUAUUAUGGAUAAAGAUAUAAAGUGCAAAUGGUGAUGCCAAUGAUUUGCAUUGGAAAUAACUACAAGAUUGCCAAAGAACAUAAAAAUAUUAAAUAAUUAUAUUUAGAGGGGUAUAUGAAGUUUCAGGCUCUGAAUAUUUAGAAUGGAAUAUGUUUUAACUGUACCAAGAGAAACUAUGGUAUAGACAAAGUUUUAAAAUGUAUAUUUUACAUAGAAAACAGACGAAUGAGCAAGACAAGUGAAAGUAUGUUGUGUGCUUUGUGCAGUGACAUAAAGAAACGAGAUGAUUGCUGAAGCCAGCAACUAGUAGAAAAAUUUAGAGGUUAGAUUGCAGAUAUCCAUAUAUUGUACACCUUUUUCAUGUUAGGAAAGAUAUUCAUGCAUAAACAUUAAAUUUUCAAUAAAAAUUUAAUUUUG
Molecule: RNA transcript, 2826 nt
Organism: Homarus americanus (American lobster)
Lineage: Eukaryota; Metazoa; Arthropoda; Malacostraca; Decapoda; Nephropidae
Gene name: serine/arginine-rich splicing factor 3-like
Exons: 7
Source: RefSeq, a predicted model, not a curated record